This 233-nucleotide long non-coding RNA is filed under the name Manacus vitellinus (golden-collared manakin). Its description in RNAcentral is "lncRNA (ENSMVIG00005016400.1)". The record is from RNAcentral. Lineage: Eukaryota; Metazoa; Chordata; Aves; Passeriformes; Pipridae.
UGAGUUUAAGAGCCUGUAAGCCAAGAUUUCCUUCCAGUGGACAUCAGGCUAUCUGAGACAAGAAACUCAUACUAAGAAGAGAGCCAUAUAAUUUGAAGUUCACAAAGAUGGUGAUCAACAAGCCAGCAGAAUUAUAGAUGGAGCUGUUCUGUGAGAAUACUCUGGGAAGGCCUGUAUAAAAAAGUCGAUGGCGGCAAGAAGACGGAACAUAAGGAAAGCUGGAAUAGCUGCUC